GCAGCAACAACACCCGAAGUAGCAAAUGUAGAUAAAUUUAAUGUUGAUGAGCAAGCAAAAGAUAAUUCCAUUUUUGAAUAUGAAUCAGUAAGUAGCGGACAUGAAGAAAUUGAGCAAGAUGAUGAGCAAGAUGAUUUAGGGACACAACGUGAAGAUGAUCAAUCCAAAGAAGAUGAAAAAGCUAAUACUAAUGAGGAAAAUCAAGAGGUUGAAGAAGUUGUACGUGAAUAAGUGAUGGGAAAUCUUAGAAGUGAAGGUGAACGAGGUUCUACAAAAGAAAAAAAAUGGAAAGUAGGCAGUUUCAAAGCUCGUGUCGUCAAAGAUUUUCAGUAGCAAAAGUUCAAGUGAAUCUGCGAAUAAUGUUCAUAGCGAAUUUGAAUCGGAAACUGAUGAUAGUGAGGAGGAAGAAAAGGAUAUUGAAACAAAGAUGAAGAUUGUGAAUAGAAGGAAAGGAAAACAGUCAAUAGAUUUUCAAAGUCAAUCAACUUGUAGGUUGACUAGAAGUCGUGCUUUGCAAUUGAGUUUAGCUUCUCAAGAAAGUAUUGUUGGCAAAAAUAUGCAAUUGGUAAAGCAUAAUUCAAAGAAGGAUGUUACAUCUACGUCUAUUGUUGUUAAACUUAAAGAGUGAG
This is a long non-coding RNA of Amaranthus tricolor (Joseph's coat), 629 nucleotides long. RefSeq lists it as uncharacterized. The transcript is spliced from 6 exons. The record is from RefSeq and is a predicted model, not a curated record. Lineage: Eukaryota; Viridiplantae; Streptophyta; Magnoliopsida; Caryophyllales; Amaranthaceae.